RNAcentral lists this ribosomal RNA (466 nucleotides) under uncultured bacterium. Its description in RNAcentral is "partial 16S ribosomal RNA". It matches the Rfam family "Bacterial small subunit ribosomal RNA", at positions 28 to 505 of the family's 1533-position model. The record is from RNAcentral.
GACGAACGCUGGCGGCGUGCUUAACACAUGCAAGUCGAACGGAAAGGCCCUGCUUUUGUGGGGUGCUCGAGUGGCGAACGGGUGAGUAACACGUGAGUAACCUGCCCUUGACUUUGGGAUAACUUCAGGAAACUGGGGCUAAUACCGGAUAGGAGCUCCUGCUGCAUGGUGGGGGUUGGAAAGUUUCGGCGGUUGGGGAUGGACUCGCGGCUUAUCAGCUUGUUGGUGGGGUAGUGGCUUACCAAGGCUUUGACGGGUAGCCGGCCUGAGAGGGUGACCGGCCACAUUGGGACUGAGAUACGGCCCAGACUCCUACGGGAGGCAGCAGUGGGGAAUAUUGCACAAUGGGCGGAAGCCUGAUGCAGCAACGCCGCGUGCGGGAUGACGGCCUUCGGGGUGUAAACCGCUUUCGCCUGUGACGAAGCGUGAGUGACGGUAAUGUGUAAAGAAGCACCGGCUAACUACG